AGAGUUUGAUCCUGGCUCAGAACGAACGCUGGCGGCGCGUUUUAAGCAUGCAAGUCGAACGGGAACCUGGUCUUCGGACCGGGGGAUAGUGGCGAACGGGUGAGUAACACGUAGGUGAUCUGUCCUUGGAGUGGGGGAUAGCCCAUGGAAACAUGGGGUAAUACCGCAUGAGGUCUUGGGACUGUGGUCCUUUGAUGAAAGGAGCAAAUGUUCCGCUUUAGGAUGAGCCUGCGGUCCAUUAGCUAGUUGGUAGGGUAAGAGCCUACCAAGGCGACGAUGGGUAGCCGACCUGAGAGGGUGAACGGUCACACUGGGACUGAGACACGGCCCAGACUCCUACGGGAGGCAGCAGCUAAGAAUCUUCCGCAAUGGGGGAAACCCUGACGGAGCGACGCCGCGUGGACGAUGAAGGCCUAGAGGUUGUAAAGUCCUUUCGCAGACGAAGAAUAAGGCAAGGAGUGGAACGCCUUGCUGAUGACGUUAGUCUUGCGAAUAAGCCCCGGCCAAUUACGUGCCAGCAGCCGCGGUAACACGUAUGGGGCGAGCGUUGUUCGGAAUUAUUGGGCGUAAAGGGCGCGUAGGCGGUGCUAUAAGCUUGGUGUGAAAUCCCCCGGCCUAACUGGGGAAUGGCGCUGAGAACUGUAGUGCUUGAGUUCUGGAGAGGGAGCUGGAAUUCCUGGUGUAGGGGUGAAAUCUGUAGAUAUCAGGAAGAACACCGGUGGCGAAGGCGGGCUUCUGGCCAGAAACUGACGCUGAGGCGCGAAAGCGUGGGGAGCGAACAGGAUUAGAUACCCUGGUAGUCCACGCUGUAAACGAUGUGCACUGGGUGUCGGGGCUUUAAUGGGUCUCGGUGCCGUAGUUAACGCGAUAAGUGCACCGCCUGGGGAGUAUGCUCGCAAGGGUGAAACUCAAAGGAAUUGACGGGGGCCCGCACAAGCGGUGGAGCAUGUGGUUUAAUUCGAUGAUACGCGAGGAACCUUACCAGGGCUUGACAUGUACCUGACGGUCUGUGAGAGCAGGCUUUCUCUUCUGGGACGGGUACACAGGUGCUGCAUGGUUGUCGUCAGCUCGUGUCGUGAGAUGUUGGGUUAAGUCCCGCAACGAGCGCAACCCCUACUGUCUGUUACCAGCAUUAAGUUGGGGACUCAGGCGGAACUGCCGGUGACAAACCGGAGGAAGGUGGGGAUGACGUCAAAUCAUCAUGGCCCUUAUGUCCUGGGCUACGCACGUGCUACAAUGGCAGGUACAGAGCGCAGGAGCGAAACGGUGACGUGGGGCCAAUCGCUAAAAGCCUGCCUCAGUUCGGAUUGGAGUCUGAAACUCGACUCCAUGAAGGUGGAAUCGCUAGUAAUCGCGCAUCAGCAUGGCGCGGUGAAUACGUUCCCGGGCCUUGUACACACCGCCCGUCACACCACCCGAGUUGGGGGUACCCGAAGUCGCUGGUCUAACCCAUUUAUGGGGCGACGGUGCCGAAGGUAUGCCUGGUAAGGGGGGUGAAGUCGUAACAAGGUA
This 1512-nucleotide ribosomal RNA is filed under the name metagenome. RNAcentral describes it as "bacterial SSU rRNA". It matches the Rfam family "Bacterial small subunit ribosomal RNA". The record is from RNAcentral.